Molecule: ribosomal RNA, 500 nt
Filed under: uncultured bacterium
Lineage: Bacteria
Description: partial 16S ribosomal RNA
Rfam family: Bacterial small subunit ribosomal RNA
Source: RNAcentral
AUUGAACGCUGGCGGCAUGCCUUACACAUGCAAGUCGAACGGCAGCACGGGAGCAAUCCUGGUGGCGAGUGGCGAACGGGUGAGUAAAGUAUCGGAACGUGCCCAGUCGUGGGGGAUAACGUAGCGAAAGUUACGCUAAUACCGCAUACGAUCUAUGGAUGAAAGCGGGGGAUCGCAAGACCUCGCGCGAUUGGAGCGGCCGAUAUCAGAUUAGGUAGUUGGUGGGGUAAAGGCUCACCAAGCCGACGAGCUGUAGCUGGUCUGGGAGGACGACCAGCCACACUGGGACUGAGGAACGGCCCAGACGCCUACGGGAGGCAGCAGUGGGGAAUUUUGGACAAUGGGCGCAAGCCUGAUUCAGUCAUGCCGCGUGCAGGAUGAAGGCCUUCGGGUUGUAAACUGCUUUUGUACGGAACGAAAAGGUUUGACUUAAUACGUUGGACUCAUGACGGUACCGUAAGAAUAAGCACCGGCUAACUACGUGCCAGCCGCCGCAGUAA